This 303-nucleotide ribosomal RNA is filed under the name Triticum aestivum (bread wheat). Its description in RNAcentral is "partial small subunit ribosomal RNA". The record is from RNAcentral. Lineage: Eukaryota; Viridiplantae; Streptophyta; Magnoliopsida; Poales; Poaceae.
AUGGGAGGCAUGAGUUUUGCUUCUCUCAUGGGAGGCAUGGGUGCACCUCCGGCCGCCAUGGGCGGAAUGUCUUUCGAUGUGCCUCCUCGCACACAUUCCCAUGAAGAUGCUGUUGAAGAUCUUGCCAACAUCGUCGGAGCUUCAUGUGAUGCGGUGCUGAUGAGGAGAGGGAGGAAGAUUCAUCUUCGGAGGCGGAAGAAUCGUCUUCCGAAGAUGAGGACGAGGACGAAGACGAGGACGAGGAAUGAUGUGUCUUUCAUUUGUGUAUCGAACUUGAUUUACAUUUUGAACUUGGUUGGAUGA